Molecule: ribosomal RNA, 442 nt
Filed under: Bacillus sp. F4
Lineage: Bacteria; Bacillati; Bacillota; Bacilli; Caryophanales; Bacillaceae
Also listed under: 2 other names
Description: bacterial SSU rRNA
Rfam family: Bacterial small subunit ribosomal RNA
Source: RNAcentral
GUGGGCAACCUGCCUGUAAGACUGGGAUAACUUCGGGAAACCGAAGCUAAUACCGGAUAGGAUCUUCUCCUUCAUGGGAGAUGAUUGAAAGAUGGUUUCGGCUAUCACUUACAGAUGGGCCCGCGGUGCAUUAGCUAGUUGGUGAGGUAACGGCUCACCAAGGCAACGAUGCAUAGCCGACCUGAGAGGGUGAUCGGCCACACUGGGACUGAGACACGGCCCAGACUCCUACGGGAGGCAGCAGUAGGGAAUCUUCCGCAAUGGACGAAAGUCUGACGGAGCAACGCCGCGUGAGUGAUGAAGGCUUUCGGGUCGUAAAACUCUGUUGUUAGGGAAGAACAAGUACGAGAGUAACUGCUCGUACCUUGACGGUACCUAACCAGAAAGCCACGGCUAACUACGUGCCAGCAGCCGCGGUAAUACGUAGGUGGCAAGCGUUAUC